This 460-nucleotide ribosomal RNA is filed under the name uncultured bacterium. RNAcentral describes it as "partial 16S ribosomal RNA". It matches the Rfam family "Bacterial small subunit ribosomal RNA", at positions 338 to 795 of the family's 1533-position model. The record is from RNAcentral.
CCUACGGGAGGCAGCAGUGAGGAAUAUUGGUCAAUGGGCGUAAGCCUGAACCAGCCAAGUCGCGUGAGGGAUGAAGGUUCUAUGGAUCGUAAACCUCUUUUAUAAGGGAAUAAAGUGUGGGACGUGUCCUGUUUUGUAUGUACCUUAUGAAUAAGGAUCGGCUAACUCCGUGCCAGCAGCCGCGGUAAUACGGAGGAUCCGAGCGUUAUCCGGAUUUAUUGGGUUUAAAGGGUGCGUAGGUGGCCUGUUAAGUCAGCUGUGAAAGUUUGUGGCUCAACCAUAGAAUUGCCGUUGAAACUGGGAGCCUUGAGUAUGGUUGAGGCAGGCGGAAUGCGUGGUGUAGCGGUGAAAUGCUUAGAUAUCACGCAGAACCCCGAUUGCGAAGGCAGCCUGCCAAGCCAUGACUGACGCUGAUGCACGAAAGCGUGGGGAUCAAACAGGAUUAGAUACCCCUGUAGUC